RNAcentral lists this ribosomal RNA (473 nucleotides) under uncultured bacterium. RNAcentral's name for it is "SSU rRNA". It matches the Rfam family "Bacterial small subunit ribosomal RNA", at positions 26 to 518 of the family's 1533-position model. The record is from RNAcentral.
AGGACGAACGCUGGCGGCGUGCUUAACACAUGCAAGUCGAGCGGAAAGGCCCUUCGGGGUACUCGAGCGGCGAACGGGUGAGUAACACGUGAGUAACCUGCCCUGGACUUUGGGAUAACCCUCGGAAACGGGGGCUAAUACCGGAUACGACUUCGGAUCGCAUGAUCUGUGGUGGAAAGUUUUUCGGUCUGGGAUGGGCUCGCGGCCUAUCAGCUUGUUGGUGGGGUGAUGGCCUACCAAGGCGACGACGGGUAGCCGGCCUGAGAGGGCGACCGGCCACACUGGGACUGAGACACGGCCCAGACUCCUACGGGAGGCAGCAGUGGGGAAUAUUGCACAAUGGGCGGAAGCCUGAUGCAGCGACGCCGCGUGAGGGAUGACGGCCUUCGGGUUGUAAACCUCUUUCAGCAGGACGAAGCGAGAGUGACGGUACCUGCAGAAGAAGCGCCGGCCAACUACGCGCCAGCAGCCGC